AGCUUCAUAAUAAACCAGGUAAUAGAAUUCUAAAACAUUUAACAUUAAUUAAACACAUUAGUGUAGUUGCAAAAAUGAGUUAAAAAUAACAAAGUUACAAUGCACAGUAUGGGUCUUUUCGUCUAUAAACAUUGCUUAAAUACUUCUUUUGCUAAACUUAAAGUUACGAUUUCGCGCAAAUACAUCCUGAGCUGAGGACUGCAUAUUUAAGCCGUGAGCAAAUACAGCGGUCACGCGAACGCUUUGCUUUGUGUUGUAUAUAACGACGAUGAAAAGUGCAUUGAAAAGUAAACAACUACGAAGGGGAAUCCCCUGUAACAACAACAGCGUUUUUAGUAAGGCAUGAAGAGGAGAAACUCAGACGUCAAAAUGAAAAGUAAUUGAAAGUUGUCACUCUGCGGGCUUAUGUGUUAUUUGUGAGCCUGAGGCAUUUAAGAAGCAUCAUUGAAAAUAAGCUGUUUGCUGAACUAAAGCUUUGGAUAAUCAGGCAAACUAAGGGGUUGAAGCAUUGGCACUCUGUUGCACAUGAAGCAUGACAUGAGGUGUGGGGUAGUCACACCCAAGGGUUAUAUUACAAAACAUAACACAUGGAUAACACAAAAUAUGACGCUUGUGGGCUACGGAAGCUGGCUACAAAAGUCACAACAGACCGUUGAUGUUUUUUAUCAACAAGUACAGCACUCGCAGUGUUUACCAAAUUAAAAGCCCGGAAACUUUCACUGUUGGACAAUUUCCAGUUAAUUGACGGUUGAGCAGCACCAGGCUACAAAUAAGCCAAACUUGAACAAAAACACCCAAUUUUGAACCAGCAAGUUAAAUCUAAUCGAUUAUAACGUCUAGCCAUACACAUAGUACAUGACACACAUAAAUACAAAAGUAUCAAUUCAUGAUUCGUGUAAAACGACUUUAUUCGUACCCCUAAAACAUAAUUUUAUUGAUAAAAAUCUAAAUCGUUGAUAUUUCUUCUUCUUAUUACAAUAAUGUCGCGAAGAUAAGUUUCAAAUCUGAUAGAUUUAAUAUCUUAUAUUUUAAUGCACUUAGUCUCCGAAAUUUAGUUUAUAUACCUCAUGUUUUUAACUGUUUACAGUAAAUGAAAAAACUUUCCCAGUUUUAAGCUUGCUUGUCAGCAACUGUAAACCCCCAUGUUACAACUUUGGUGUCCGAGACCAAAAGUUACUUUUAGAAAGUUUGGUGGUUUAUUUAACAUUUUAAAAACGUGAUUACGUAUCUAUGUAUUACUUUAACACAUGCUAUAUUUGCGCUAAUCAAUAUAUAGGCCUACGCACAUUGUAAAAAGGCCCCCGUGCGCCAUUAAAUACAUUGGGUUUUCAAUUAUAAAUCGCGUUUAUACCGAUAACUUCUUUCUUUCUGGACAUUUUUUUCGCGCACUUUUUGCGGCAAAGUUUAGAUUUAAACUACGCAUUUAUGUACCACAGUUUUUAAUAAAAGCUGAUAUUAA
This is a non-coding RNA of Ciona intestinalis (vase tunicate), 1459 nucleotides long. The record is from RefSeq and is a predicted model, not a curated record. NCBI's taxonomy places the organism in Eukaryota, Metazoa, Chordata, Ascidiacea, Phlebobranchia, Cionidae.